UCGCUCAAUUAGAUCAAUUCCCAGGGGUGUUACAGCUCAGGCUUAGGAGAACAAAAAAUUCGAUUUCAAAGAGAAUAAUUAUUUAUGCACCAUGUAAAUUCUCCAUUAGACUCGUUAUGCCCAAUGGUAUUAUCGUCAUUAUUGAAAUCAUCAAUAAUUGUUUACAAAAGAUGUGCCAGUUGUGCGAUGAAUUGUGUUUGUUUUUGUGGAAAAUGAUUGGGUGCAGAACAACCAAUCAAAACUCAAAUUUAUGUAUUGACGUCAAUUAGUGAAAGCGUCUUAUAAACUAUCAUACGUUUCAUACCUCGUGCUAAACUUUUAUGUGCUUGGAUGAGAAAAGCUUCAGUAAUGUAAGUAUUAGAACAAUUUUUCGUAGUUGUUUUGUGACGAGUUGAGAAUGAUUUUCAUUCUUGUGUAAAUCACAACUAAAAACAUUUCAUUGAAGCUCGAUUCAUUUAAAACGAAGGUAACGCGCAAUUAGUCGGGUUUAUAGUUAGUCUGAUUUGUUGGAAACGAAAGAAUAUUUCACUAGUGUGUUGUCUACGUUAUUAUUACGAUGAAUUGAACAGGGUUAUCGUGAUAUGAAAAAGGUGUACUAACUGAAAUUUUGGGUGUGAAAAAUAAAAUGAAAUGUUGGUCAUUUCGUGAAUUAAUUAACUUAUUCGGUACGAAAUAAAGUUGGCCGAAUAAUUACAGGUGAUUGCCAUAAAUCUGCCUAAGACUGUAAAAGCUGAACUCUCUUGGGACACCUCAGAGGCAAGGAAAAAAGCACAAUUAGAGAAUUUAAUGUUACAAAAAAUAAAAGAUUCAAGAAAAAUAUAUAGACGCAUGAAGAUUUAUUAUGUUGGUGAAAAGAUAACAAAAAGCAA
This is a long non-coding RNA of Xenia sp. Carnegie-2017, 869 nucleotides long. RefSeq lists it as uncharacterized. Lineage: Eukaryota; Metazoa; Cnidaria; Anthozoa; Malacalcyonacea; Xeniidae. The transcript is spliced from 2 exons. The record is from RefSeq and is a predicted model, not a curated record.